GACGAACGCUGGCGGCGUGCUUAACACAUGCAAGUCGAACGGAAAGGCCCUGCUUUUGUGGGGUGCUCGAGUGGCGAACGGGUGGGUAACACGUGAGUAACCUGCCCUUGACUUUGGGAUAACUUCAGGAAACUGGGGCUAAUACCGGAUAGGAGCUCCUGCUGCAUGGUGGGGGUUGGAAAGUUUCGGCGGUUGGGGAUGGACUCGCGGCUUAUCAGCUUGUUGGUGGGGUAGUGGCUUACCAAGGCUUUGACGGGUAGCCGGCCUGAGAGGGUGACCGGCCACAUUGGGACUGAGAUACGGCCCAGACUCCUACGGGAGGCAGCAGUGGGGAAUAUUGCACAAUGGGCGGAAGCCUGAUGCAGCAACGCCGCGUGCGGGAUGACGGCCUUCGGGUUGUAAACCGCUUUCGCCUGUGACGAAGCGUGAGUGACGGCAAUGGGUAAAGAAGCACCGGCUAACUACGUG
Molecule: ribosomal RNA, 468 nt
Filed under: uncultured bacterium
Lineage: Bacteria
Description: partial 16S ribosomal RNA
Rfam family: Bacterial small subunit ribosomal RNA
Source: RNAcentral